AAUAAUUUUUUUAUUUUUUGUAAUUCUUGCGCGACCAAAACAUACGUCGCGCAAAAAGUGUUUGCGAGACGUAUGUUUUCGUCGCGCAAAUAUAUGAG
RNAcentral lists this microRNA precursor (98 nucleotides) under Prunus dulcis (almond). RNAcentral describes it as "sRNA ncRNA". The record is from RNAcentral. Lineage: Eukaryota; Viridiplantae; Streptophyta; Magnoliopsida; Rosales; Rosaceae.